AACGCACCUUGCGCUCCUUGGUAUUCCGAGGAGCAUGCCUGUUUGAGUGUCGUGAAAUCAUCAACUCCUUUACUUUAUUGUGAAGUGAGCUUGGAUUUGGAGACUGCUGGUGCAAAUCAGCUUCUCUUGAAUGUAUUAGCUGGAAUUCAGUUUGCAGCAUAUAUGCGGUGUGAUAAUGUCGUCACUGCGUAGCUGGUAUUCUGUCUGGCUUCUAACCGUCCUUUACUUGGACAACUUGAUCAUUCUGACCUCAAAUCAGGUAGGACUACCCGCUGAACUUAA
This 282-nucleotide unclassified non-coding RNA is filed under the name uncultured fungus. RNAcentral describes it as "partial contains 5.8S ribosomal RNA, internal transcribed spacer 2, and large subunit ribosomal RNA". The stretch from base 1 to 52 matches the Rfam family "5.8S ribosomal RNA", at positions 103 to 154 of the family's 154-position model. The record is from RNAcentral. Lineage: Eukaryota; Fungi.